RNAcentral lists this ribosomal RNA (253 nucleotides) under uncultured bacterium. Its description in RNAcentral is "partial 16S ribosomal RNA". It matches the Rfam family "Bacterial small subunit ribosomal RNA", at positions 524 to 776 of the family's 1533-position model. The record is from RNAcentral.
UACGUAGGGUGCAAGCGUUGUCCGGAAUUAUUGGGCGUAAAGAGCUCGUAGGCGGUCUGUCGCGUCGGCUGUGAAAACCCGGAGCUCAACUCCGGGCCUGCAGUCGAUACGGGCAAACUGGAGUGUUGCAGGGGAGACUGGAAUUCCUGGUGUAGCGGUGAAAUGCGCAGAUAUCAGGAGGAACACCGGUGGCGAAGGCGGGUCUCUGGGCCAUAACUGACGCUGAGGAGCGAAAGCGUGGGGAGCAAACAGG